GACGAACCGUGCGAACGUUAUUCGGAAUCACUGGGCUUAAAGCGCGUGUAGGCGGGCCGCCGCGUCGGCUGCUGAAAUCCCCCGGCUCAACCGGGGAACGGGCACCGAAACGGGCGGCCUCGAGGGGGGUAGGGGGGCCUGGAACUUCCGGUGGAGCGGUGAAAUGCGUUGAGAUCGGAAGGAACGCCCGUGGCGAAAGCGAGGCCCUGGACCCUUUCUGACGCUGAGACGCGAAAGCCAGGGGAGCGAACGGG
RNAcentral lists this ribosomal RNA (254 nucleotides) under uncultured bacterium. RNAcentral's name for it is "partial 16S ribosomal RNA". It matches the Rfam family "Bacterial small subunit ribosomal RNA", at positions 524 to 776 of the family's 1533-position model. The record is from RNAcentral.